AUGCCAUGGUGUGGGCAUGCUGUAAUGUAUUCCUGGAGAUGUUCCUAGGCUUCCGGGACUGUUUUGUCUUGGAGUUGUUGAAAACUAGAAAUCCUGUUCCGAAGGGU
Molecule: small nucleolar RNA, 107 nt
Organism: Panicum virgatum (switchgrass)
Lineage: Eukaryota; Viridiplantae; Streptophyta; Magnoliopsida; Poales; Poaceae
Source: RefSeq, a predicted model, not a curated record